GAGUUUGAUCAUGGCUCAGGAUGAACGCUGACAGAAUGCUUAACACAUGCAAGUCUACUUGAUCCUUCGGGUGAAGGUGGCGGACGGGUGAGUAACGCGUAAAGAACUUGCCUUACAGACUGGGACAACAUUUGGAAACGAAUGCUAAUACCGGAUAUUAUGAUUGGGUCGCAUGAUCUGGUUAUGAAAGCUAUAUGCGCUGUGAGAGAGCUUUGCGUCCCAUUAGUUAGUUGGUGAGGUAACGGCUCACCAAGACGAUGAUGGGUAGCCGGCCUGAGAGGGUGAACGGCCACAAGGGGACUGAGACACGGCCCUUACUCCUACGGGAGGCAGCAGUGGGGAAUAUUGGACAAUGGACCAAAAGUCUGAUCCAGCAAUUCUGUGUGCACGAUGAAGUUUUUCGGAAUGUAAAGUGCUUUCAGUUGGGAAGAAGUCAGUGACGGUACCAACAGAAGAAGCGACGGCUAAAUACGUGCCAGCAGCCGCGGUAAUACGUAUGUCGCAAGCGUUAUCCGGAUUUAUUGGGCGUAAAGCGCGUCUAGGCGGCUUAGUAAGUCUGAUGUGAAAAUGCGGGGCUCAACCCCGUAUUGCGUUGGAAACUGCUAAACUAGAGUACUGGAGAGGUAGGCGGAACUACAAGUGUAGAGGUGAAAUUCGUAGAUAUUUGUAGGAAUGCCGAUGGGGAAGCCAGCCUACUGGACAGAUACUGACGCUAAAGCGCGAAAGCGUGGGUAGCAAACAGGAUUAGAUACCCUGGUAGUCCACGCCGUAAACGAUGAUUACUAGGUGUUGGGGGUCGAACCUCAGCGCCCAAGCUAACGCGAUAAGUAAUCCGCCUGGGGAGUACGUACGCAAGUAUGAAACUCAAAGGAAUUGACGGGGACCCGCACAAGCGGUGGAGCAUGUGGUUUAAUUCGACGCAACGCGAGGAACCUUACCAGCGUUUGACAUCCCAAGAA
RNAcentral lists this ribosomal RNA (959 nucleotides) under uncultured bacterium. Its description in RNAcentral is "bacterial SSU rRNA". It matches the Rfam family "Bacterial small subunit ribosomal RNA", at positions 9 to 995 of the family's 1533-position model. The record is from RNAcentral.